Non-coding RNA from Jaminaea rosea, 170 nucleotides. NCBI's taxonomy places the organism in Eukaryota, Fungi, Basidiomycota, Exobasidiomycetes, Microstromatales. The record is from the annotation of a RefSeq genome assembly.
GUCAGUUUGGCCGAGUGGUCUAAGGCGCGGGUCUCAAGCUUAGUAAAAGCUUCUCCGCAGUCAAUUUCAUGGUGUAGUACUCGUAUGGUACCACUCUUACCAUGAUCUGGACUUGGUAACGGAGCCUUCCCGUGGAGCAAUCCGCGUGAGUUCAAAUCUCACAGCUGACA